CGUACGGUAAUUAGGUAACAAGCCAAUUUGACAUUUACUCAGUACAUUGUUUUCAUUGAGGAAAUGUACAAGUCUGCUGUUAAUGAUAAUGUAGAGGAUUUUCCCAAGGUUGCUGUUGACGCAUAUCCCACGGUAGUUACUGGGGUCAAAUUUCUCUCCACUUCUGUGGAUCAGGGUGAUCAGUCCUUGGUUCCAAAUAUUGGAGAAGAUGCCAGAGCUAAGGAUGAUGUUAAAGAGUAUAAGUAUAGCCAAUUGUAAUUUUGGGUCUGUAUAUUUUAUCAUUUCAUUUAGGAUACCAUCAACCCCACAGGCGUUUUUGGGUUGGAGGGUUUGUAUUUUGUAGUGUAGUUCAUUAAAUGUAAUUAGAGAAUCCAGUGGGUUCCUGUAGUCUUUAAUAGUUUAUUGUAAGAUUUGUAUUUGAUCAUGUAUAUGUUACUGCUGUUUGAUCUUUGUCAUAGAGCCAAAAAUAUUGGCGAAGUGGUUUUUCCAGACAUCUCCGUUUUGGAUAGAUAACUCUUUGUGUUGUUUGUUUGUUUUGAGUUUUCCCAGAAGUGGUUGGAGUCUAUGGAUUCUUCAAUUACAUUGAGCUGAUUUCUGACAUGCUGUUCCUUCUUUUUCCGUAGUGUGUUUCUGUAUCGUUUUAGUGAUUCACCAUAGUGAAGGCGUAGGCUCAGGUUUUCUGGGUCUCUAUGUUUUUGUUUGGACAGGUUUCUCCAUUUCUUCCUUAGGUUUUUUGCAUUCUUCAUCAAACCAUUUGUCAUUGUUGUUAAUUUUCUUUGGUUGUCUGCUUGACAUUGAUAGAUUUGAUGGGGAAGCUGAGAGGUCAAAUAUACUGUUUAGGUUUUCGACUGCCAUGUUUACACCUUCACUAUUACAAUGGAACGUUUUACCCAGGAAAUUGUCUAGGAGGGAUUGAAUUUGUUGUUGCCUAAUUGUUUUUUGGUAGAUUUCCAAACUACUUUCCUUCCAUCUAUCAGCAUUUCUUAAUGUUACUCAGUUCCUUUGGCUUUGAUGCCUCAUGAUUGGGUUUUGCUCUGUUCAAGUAGACUGAUUUUGUUGUGGUCUGAUAGUUGUCAGUGGGCUGACUGUUAACUGUGGUCUGAUAGAGUUGUCAGUGGGCUGACUGUUAACUGUGGUCUGAUAGGGGUGUCAGUGGGCUGACUGUUAACUGUGGUCUGAUAGAGUUGUCAGUGGGCUGACUGUUAACUGUGAUCUGAUAGAGGUGUCAGUGGGCUGACUGUUAACUGUGGUCUGAUAGGGGUGUCAGUGGGCUGACUGUUAACUGUGAUCUGAUAGGGGUGUCAGUGGGCUGACUGUUAACUGUGGUCUGAUAGAGGUGUCAGUGGGCUGACUGUUAACUGUGAUCUGAUAGGGGUGUCAGUGGGCUGACUGUUAACUGUGGUCUGAUAGAGGUGUCAGUGGGCUGACUGUUAACUGUGGUCUGAUAGAGUUGUCAGUGGGCUGACUGUUAACUGUGGUCUGAUAGAGUUGUCAGUGGGCUGACUGUUAACUGUGGUCUGAUAGGGGUGUCAGUGGGCUGACUGUUAACUGUGAUCUGAUAGGGGUGUCAGUGGGCUGACUGUUAACUGUGGUCUGAUAGAGGUGUCAGUGGGCUGACUGUUAACUGUGGUCUGAUAGAGUUGUCAGUGGGCUGACUGUUAACUGUGGUCUGAUAGAGUUGUCAGUGGGCUGACUGUUAACUGUGGUCUGAUAGGGGUGUCAGUGGGCUGACUGUUAACUGUGGUCUGAUAGGGGUGUCAGUGGGCUGACUGUUAACUGUGAUCUGAUAGGGGUGUCAGUGGGCUGACUGUUAACUGUGGUCUGAUAGGGGUGUCAGUGGGCUGACUGUUAACUGUGAUCUGAUAGGGGUGUCAGUGGGCUGACUGUUAACUGUGGUCUGAUAGAGUUGUCAGUGGGCUGACUGUUAACUGUGGUCUGAUAGAGUUGUCAGUGGGCUGACUGUUAACUGUGGUCUGAUAGGGGUGUCAGUGGGCUGACUGUUAACUGUGAUCUGAUAGAGGUGUCAGUGGGCUGACUGUUAACUGUGGUCUGAUAGAGGUGUCAGUGGGCUGACUGCUAACUGUGAUCUGAUAGGGGUGUCAGUGGGCUGACUGUUAACUGUGAUCUGAUAGAGUUGUCAGUGGGCUGACUGUUAACUGUG
Long non-coding RNA from Oncorhynchus keta (chum salmon), 2161 nucleotides. RefSeq lists it as uncharacterized. The record is from RefSeq and is a predicted model, not a curated record. The transcript has 3 exons. NCBI's taxonomy places the organism in Eukaryota, Metazoa, Chordata, Actinopteri, Salmoniformes, Salmonidae.